This is a long non-coding RNA of Mytilus californianus (California mussel), 2020 nucleotides long. RefSeq lists it as uncharacterized. The record is from RefSeq and is a predicted model, not a curated record. The transcript has 3 exons. Lineage: Eukaryota; Metazoa; Mollusca; Bivalvia; Mytilida; Mytilidae.
UUUUUAGAUAUAAUUCUGCAGAGAACAAAGAGAAGUCUGGAUUCAUCAUAGAAUUUGUAAAAGGCCCAAUAUCCUGAUGAAGUGGAGGGUGUUGUUAGAGAAGGGAUAAAGACAAAUUUUGAAUCGUUCAAAGCAAAGAAACGAAGAGACGAAACUGGUAAACAAGAAGAACAUAACAAGAAAAUGGCUGUGUACAGCAAGAUGAGAAGAAAAUUAAACAACAGAAAAAAGGCCCUAAAAGUAAAAGUCCAGUAUACCAGAGGAACAAAAAGAAAAGGGCUCGAAAAGCCUUGUGGUGCAGAACAUGUCUUAUGAACAAACAGAUUCAUAAGACGAAGGAUCGUUUAUCGUCAGACCUCUGCCUUGGAGGUCUGACGAUGUUGAUAAAUUAGUAAAAAAAACUAGACCAAAAACAUGAUGGUCAACUAACCAAGAGAAGGAGACGACAGCAACAUAAACGAAAGGUUGGGGCAGUUUCCUCAAGGAUAAAACCAGAAGUCGUGCCGGGACAUGAAUGGGUGUUUAAAUAGUUUAAAAAUAAUGUCAAUGAUUUAACUUUAUUCGUUUUAAGUAUACAAGUUUUACCGACCAAAGUAAAUGCUACAUGUAAUUGUUAAUAAUUUUUACACAAUUAUUUGUCCCAAACUAAAAAAACCUGAUAUAUCGUUCUAUUCUUAUAUUAACAUAUUUCAGUCAUCACGAAAUCAAAUAGAUGCGAACAGAAAGAGAAAAAAUACAUCUUCAUGUCGGAUGUCAACAUACCGUCUUCAACAACAACAAGCGGUUAGAAGGAGAAAGUUUUUGAUAAAAAAUAGUAAAGAAAAGUGCUUCUUGAAACAACAGUAUUGUCGUAAUGGGCAAAACUAUUUAAAAAUAACACGAACAAUGUACAUUUCAUUGGCAAAACAAAAUAUAAUAACUUUUUUGAUUUGUAACCUAGCAUCACGGAAAAUAAAUGUUAAAAAAAUAUUUUUUUAUAGAAUCUUCAUUUUUAGAUGGAAAAUCUUGUUUUCUUUAAAUAUGGAAGUGAUACCGAGAAAAUAAGCAGUGUAUUAUUUGCACAUAGUAGUAAAAAAAGAAAGAAGACAAAAUGGUAAUUCUUCGAAAUAGUAAGAAACUUGGUAUAUAUUAAAUUUCAAUGUUUUAAAUAUUCUUUUGUGCGUAAUUAUACAAUAUAAACAAGAAAAAGCUAGAUAGCAGUAAAUUUUAUCUGGUACCCUGAUGUAAGCAAUCAUACAAUGCACGUAUACAACAGUUGGUUUUACAUUUAAAAUUCUUGUUUUAGUGGUGAAGCUCUUCAUUGUGUAUUUGUUAUAUUAUAUUGAUGUCCAUGAGCAUAAUCAAAUAUAUAUUUUGAUAUUGAUUACACUGAUAAAACAUAUAGACAUUUAACUGGGAUCUUAUAUGUGAAUCUUUUUUUUUCAAUUGAUUAAAAACAGUAAGCAAUGAAAGGGAAACAACUCUUGUUAAAAUAGGAAUAUUUUUCGUAUCUUUAAAAAUUGAAGAAAUUUGUUUUUUUUUUUUAGCUUAAAGGUUUACACGUUUAUAAUUAUUAACAUUCUUAUACAAAAUAAGUAUUAAGAUCUUGAUUUUUUUAUUUUAAUAAGAAAGGGGUUGUAUAUAAUUGGGUGCUUGUUAAACCCUCCAAAUUACGUUGGAUUUUAUUAUUCAGCUCGAAUCUUUGUAUUCAAAGGGAAAUAACUCUUUCUAUUAAAAUAGUUGUUAGUCGUAAUUAGGUAAGACAAUCAAAACAACCACAACAAAAAGGAUUCUGCAAAUAUGUUACUGCUUAUUAUAUUUAAAUACUCAGUCCUUUUACAUCAUGAAGUUGAUAUGUUUUUGUUCCUUAAAAACAGCUUUAGCAAAAACAAACAAAAAUGCACAAAAUUAGAGUUUUAUAAUUUUGUUAUGUAUGUAGAUGUUUUUUUUAAAUUAUUAUAGAACGGAAUGUUAGUACUUUAAUUUGUCAUGUAUUUGUAAAUUGAAAAUAAUGAAUAAAUUUAGCUAAGAUUCUAGAUAA